This is a long non-coding RNA of Passer domesticus (house sparrow), 659 nucleotides long. RefSeq lists it as uncharacterized. The record is from RefSeq and is a predicted model, not a curated record. The transcript is spliced from 2 exons. NCBI's taxonomy places the organism in Eukaryota, Metazoa, Chordata, Aves, Passeriformes, Passeridae.
UGAAUAUUUUCUUGUCCUUGAAGAUGUUCUUCUCUGGCAUGCAUCUUCCCAACCUAUUUGAAAAUCAUCCUGUGCUUGUUCUUAAUUUACAGCCUUGAGGCAGAAGGCAUGGCAAACCUGGGCACUGAGCCUGCUACUAAGAACAGUUUUCGUGCUACUGGUGUAGUGUUUAAUUUAGGAGAAAUCGUGAGACUUGAUACCUUCUUUCAAGAUGGACAGAACUUGAAAAUGCACGAAGCAGCUGGAAUGAGGAUACAUUUGAGAAGCAGCUGGAAGGAGGAUACAUUUGAGAAGCAGCUGCAGCACAUAAUGCAGUUGAAACAAGUGAAAGAGGAUGUUCUGAGAGGUUAUCAUGAAACAAGGAGGAGACAGUGUGCUGCAAAAACACAUUUACUGCAUGUUUAGUCCUUCUGGAAAUACUGCCAUUAGUGGAGCCUUUGUGCUCUGCUGAAUGCUAAUAAAUACCAGAGAGAACUGGCUUUUCCAUCUUUAAAUGCUGUGCUACCAGGCAUUUGCUUUAUUUUUCACAGAUUGUACUGUUACACAUGCUUGUUUAAGAUACCUUAAUUUUUAAUUUUCUUACUAACCUGUUGCUUUCCAUAGAAUGAAAACAGUGUUUUAUUAUUUGCAGUAAAUAAACCAUUUGUAAACUUGUCAAA